AACUAACGCUGGCGGCGUGCCUAACACAUGCAAGUCGUACGAGAAAGUUGGCUUCGGCUGAUGAGUAAAGUGGCGCACGGGUGAGUAACGCGUGGAUAAUCUGCCUUUUAGUUGGGAAUAACGUACCGAAAGGUGCGCUAAUACCGGAUAAUACUGCAUAACUACUGUUGUGUAGUCAAAGAAGGCCUCUGUUUACAAGCUUUUGCUGAAAGAUGAGUCCGCGUACCAUUAGCUAGUUGGUAGGGUAAUGGCCUACCAAGGCUACGAUGGUUAGCUGGUCUGAGAGGAUGAUCAGCCACACUGGAACUGAGACACGGUCCAGACUCCUACGGGAGGCAGCAGUGAGGAAUAUUGCGCAAUGGGGGCAACCCUGACGCAGCAACGCCGCGUGAGUGAGGAAGGUUUUCGGACCGUAAAGCUCUGUCGAGCGGGAAGAAAUGUAUCGUGGCUAAUAUCCAUGAUAUUUGACGGUACCGCUAAAGGAAGCACCGGCUAA
This 496-nucleotide ribosomal RNA is filed under the name uncultured bacterium. Its description in RNAcentral is "bacterial SSU rRNA". It matches the Rfam family "Bacterial small subunit ribosomal RNA", at positions 29 to 500 of the family's 1533-position model. The record is from RNAcentral.